This is a long non-coding RNA of Arabidopsis thaliana (thale cress), 476 nucleotides long. RefSeq annotates it as other RNA. The record is from RefSeq. The transcript has a single exon. NCBI's taxonomy places the organism in Eukaryota, Viridiplantae, Streptophyta, Magnoliopsida, Brassicales, Brassicaceae.
UCAUAAAUGUUGGUUCUGUGGAAUGGAUAUUGUUUCUUGAUAUUUCUCUUGUCCUUUCUUGUAGAUCGUGCUUUCGGGCCUACAACGACUACAAGCCAUGUCUAUGAUGAUUGCUGCUCAGCAUGUUGUUAAUGAUGCUAUAGCGGGGAUCAAUGGUAUGUUCUAAACAACUUUUUAUUAGCCUAUCUAGUUAAGACUUUAUUCGAAUAUCUUCAAAUUUCUCAUGAUCAUCAACACAAAGCAAUACUAGUGAAGCAUUUAAGGAGGGCUUAACCAUUAUGAAAGAUUCAUUAACACACCCAAUACAACCUCUUCCCCAAAUUCCAAAUCUGCCUAUCCCGACAAUGGGACUACCUCCAUUGCCCUCAACAUUGCCACAACCAUCUCUACCAACUCUUCCCACAAUAUGUUGUAUUUUGGAAUAUUGUUUUGGGUGAUAAUCUAAAUAUUCUUAUAUAGGGAAAGAAAGACGUGUU